CCUACGGGAGGCAGCAGUGGGGAAUAUUGCACAAUGGGGGAAACCCUGAUGCAGCGACGCAGCGUGAGUGAAGAAGGAUUUCGGUACGUAAAGCUCUAUCAACAGGGAAGAAAAUGACGGUACCUGACUAAGAAGCCCCGGCUAACUACGUGCCAGCAGCCGCGGUAAUACGUAGGGGGCAAGCGUUAUCCGGAUUUACUGGGUGUAAAGGGAGCGUAGACGGCAGCGCAAGUCUGGAGUGAAAGCCCAUGGCUUAACCAUGGAACUGCUUUGGAAACUGUGCAGCUAGAGUGCAGGAGAGGUAAGCGGAAUUCCUGGUGUAGCGGUGAAAUGCGUAGAUAUUAGGAGGAACACCAGUGGCGAAGGCGGCUUACUGGACUGUAACUGACGUUGAGGCUCGAAAGCGUGGGGAGCAAACAGGAUUAGAUACCCCAGUAGUC
This 440-nucleotide ribosomal RNA is filed under the name uncultured bacterium. Its description in RNAcentral is "partial 16S ribosomal RNA". It matches the Rfam family "Bacterial small subunit ribosomal RNA", at positions 338 to 795 of the family's 1533-position model. The record is from RNAcentral.